GAUGAAGAACGUAGCGAAAUGCGAUAAGUAAUGCGAAUUGCAGAAUUUCCGUGAGUCAUCGAAUCUUUGAACGCACAUUGCGCCCCUCGGUAUUCCGUGGGGCAUGCCUGUUCGAGCGUCAUUUACCCCUCAAGCACUGCUUGGUGUUGGGCGUCUGUCCCGCUUCGCGCGCGGACUCGCCCCAAAGGUAUUGGCAGCGGUCGUGCCAGCUUCUCGCGCAGCACAUUGCGCUUCUCGAGGCGGUCGAUCGGCGUCCACGAAGCUCACCUCCACCGUUUGACCUCGGAUCAGGUAGGGAUACCCGCUGAACUUAAGCAUAUCAAUAAGCGGAGGA
RNAcentral lists this unclassified non-coding RNA (334 nucleotides) under soil metagenome. RNAcentral's name for it is "partial contains 5.8S ribosomal RNA, internal transcribed spacer 2, and large subunit ribosomal RNA". The stretch from base 1 to 121 matches the Rfam family "5.8S ribosomal RNA", at positions 35 to 154 of the family's 154-position model. The record is from RNAcentral.